Molecule: ribosomal RNA, 481 nt
Filed under: uncultured bacterium
Lineage: Bacteria
Description: partial 16S ribosomal RNA
Rfam family: Bacterial small subunit ribosomal RNA
Source: RNAcentral
GAUGAACGCUGGCGGCGUGCUUAACACAUGCAAGUCGAGCGAGUGAGUUCUUCGGAACGAUCUAGCGGCGGACGGGUGAGUAACGCGUGGGUAACCUGCCUUACACAGGGGGAUAACACAGGGAAACUUGUGCUAAUACCGCAUAAGACAACGACAUGGCAUCAUGAUGUAGUCAAAGGAGAAAUCCGGUGUAAGAUGGACCCGCGUCCGAUUAGCUAGUUGGUGAGGUAACGGCUCACCAAGGCGACGAUCGGUAGCCGAGCUGGGAGGUUGAUGGGCCACAUUGGGACUGAGACACGGCCCAGACUCCGACGAGGGGCAGCAGUGGGGAAUAUUGGGCAAUGGAGGAAACUCUGACCCAGCGACGCCGCGUGCGGGAUGAAGGCCUUCGGGUUGUAAACCGCUUUCAGCAGGGAAGAAGCGAAAGUGACGGUACCUGCAGAAGAAGCACCGGCUAACUAUGUGCCAGCCGCCGCAGUAA